RNAcentral lists this long non-coding RNA (234 nucleotides) under Elaeis guineensis (African oil palm). RNAcentral describes it as "long non-coding RNA (EGUI_LNC064483)". The record is from RNAcentral. Lineage: Eukaryota; Viridiplantae; Streptophyta; Magnoliopsida; Arecales; Arecaceae.
GGUACAUCAUCUUUGUAAAAUUAUCAAUAAAAUUAAUAGAUAAAAAUUUAAUUUAAGAAUAAAUGAUUAAGUUAUUAAAUUAUAAAAAAAUUUAGAUGUGUAAUCUGAUAUGUCGGAUCCUUAUACUGCCGGCAUAUAGUAGUCCAAUCAUUUAUGAUGAUGCUGUCAUAAGGCUGCUGUCGUGCUGCCUCUUCUCCAUGAUCCUGCACCACCCGAUACCAAUGCUAAUGCAUG